Pelobates cultripes (western spadefoot toad) is the source of this 221-nucleotide non-coding RNA. The record is from the annotation of a GenBank genome assembly. NCBI's taxonomy places the organism in Eukaryota, Metazoa, Chordata, Amphibia, Anura, Pelobatidae.
CCAGGAUUUACUGACUUAAAAGCCAACCAAUCAGAGCACUCGGUGAGCCUUUAUAAAGGGACAGUACGUUUUAUUCUUGCGGCGUGGUUUUGUUUCCUUGUCAGUUUUCUGCAAUUCAGGUUUUUAUUUAACAGUAGCAUUGGGAAGUAACGAAUUAUUAUUUGACCUUUUUUGGGCUGAAUAAAAGAAGACUUUAGAAGAAAGAAGAUCUGGCAGCAGGU